This 253-nucleotide ribosomal RNA is filed under the name uncultured bacterium. RNAcentral describes it as "partial 16S ribosomal RNA". It matches the Rfam family "Bacterial small subunit ribosomal RNA", at positions 524 to 776 of the family's 1533-position model. The record is from RNAcentral.
UACGUAGGGUGCGAGCGUUAAUCGGAAUUACUGGGCGUAAAGAGUGCGUAGGCGGUUCUUGAAGUCCGCUGUGAAAGCCCCGGGCUUAACCUGGGAAUGGCAGUGGAAACUGGGGGGCUUGAAUUGAGCAGAGGGGGGUGGAAUGCCGCGUGUAGCAGUGAAAUGCGUAGAGAUGCGGCGGAACACCGAUGGCGAAGGCAGCCCCCUGGGCUUAAAUUGACGCUGAGGCACGAAAGCGUGGGGAGCAAACAGG